This 351-nucleotide ribosomal RNA is filed under the name Triticum aestivum (bread wheat). RNAcentral's name for it is "partial small subunit ribosomal RNA". Lineage: Eukaryota; Viridiplantae; Streptophyta; Magnoliopsida; Poales; Poaceae. The record is from RNAcentral.
AUGCAAGACUAUUUCACAAAGAAUCCUACAUAUCCUUCGCACCUCUUCCAGAGAAGGCACCGAAUGCGCCGAUCGCUCUUUGUGAAACUUGUUCAAGCUUGCGAGGCAAAUUGCCGGUAUUUUACUCAAAGAAGAAAUGUCGCGGGCUUAAAGGGAUUUAGUGCAUAUCAAAAAAUAUCCCCAGCUAUGCGGGUGAUUGCAUAUGGCCUUUCGGCUGACUAUGCCGACGAAUAUCUUCGCAUUGGUGAAGAUAGCACAAUUGAGUCUGUGCGUAGAUUUGCAAAAGUGAUCAUCUGUGUCUUUGGUCCUGAGUAUCUUCGGGCAUCCAAUGAAGAUGACAAAAAAAAUUGA